AUUAAAAACCAAUGCCCUUCGGGGCUCCUUGGUGAUUCAUAAUAACUUAACGAAUCGCAUAGCCUUGUGCUGGCGAUGGUUUAUUCAAAUUUCUGCCCUAUCAACUUUCGAUUGUAUGGUAUUGGCUUACAAUGGUUUCAACGGGUAACGGGGAAUUAGGGUUCUAUUCCGGAGAGGGAGCCUGAGAAACGACUACCACAUCCAAGGAAGGCAGCAGGCGCGCAAAUUACCCAAUCCCAAUUCGGGGAGGUAGUGACAAUAAAUACUGAUACAGGGCUCUUUAGGGUCUUGUAAUUGGAAUGAGUACAAUUUAAAUCCCUUAACGAGGAACAAUUGGAGGGCAAGUCUGGUGCCAGCAGCCGCGGUAAUUCCAGCUCCAAUAGCGUAUAUUAAAGUUGUUGCAGUUAAAAAGCUCGUAGUUGAACUUCAGGCUUGGCUGGGCGGUCUGCUUAACGGCAUGGUACUGUCUGGCUGAGUCUUACUUCUUGGUGAGCCGGUGUGCCCUUCAUUGGUGUGCAU
RNAcentral lists this ribosomal RNA (519 nucleotides) under uncultured fungus. RNAcentral describes it as "bacterial SSU rRNA". It matches the Rfam family "Eukaryotic small subunit ribosomal RNA", at positions 214 to 734 of the family's 1831-position model. Lineage: Eukaryota; Fungi. The record is from RNAcentral.